UGUCACUACUUUCUUAUUAAUCCCAGGAGGAUCAGGAUUACAUGCCAGUUCAACACUGAUUCAUGAUAAGGCCACCUGUGUGCUAUCACUGUUCUCAGCACAAUGGAAGAAAUUUGGGAUAUUUUGUAUAGGAAUUUGUUUCCUCCUGUGUAGUGUGAACGCUAAAUGCUUCCAAGAAUCAACAGAAAAAGUGGGUAGAACAAAGCAAGGAGCCCAAAAUUUCCACUUGUCUUUGAAGAUAUAGGCUGGAAUGAAGAAAUACGAUUUGCAAGUUAGCCUGUGCCCAGUGAUUUCUCCCACCAAAAUGCAGGGAAUGUGAGCAGAGCAAGACGGGGUCAACGGGCAAAAUCUAAUGAAGCAGUCAUAGGAUGGAGAUAUAUAAGAAUAAUCAAGGAUUCUCUAGCAAGGGAAGCUGCUCUUGCAGGAAGGCAAAGAACUAUUUUCUAAGAAGAAACGGAAGUUUUUGCCAGCCAUCAAAGAGUAUGCUGUAAGGGCGACUUCCAAGGAGAGCAAGGUGAAACACUUUGCCCCAUCUUCGUUUCCUCCAAGCUUCCCAAGUGUGUGAGACAGCAAAAGGCUGGAGGAACUCAUUGCUGCAAGCAUCUCUGUGGUGGUGAUGGAGCCAAGCGCAGCAGCAGGCCAGCCUGGCUUUUCCCCUUGCUGGAAAGGAGCCUGUGCAACAGCAGUAGCAGGUCAGGUGGAGCCACGUCUGGCCUUGCUCCUGUCUUCUUGAGCACUGCUGAGCCGGAGGCUACGCUCAGGCUGCAGGGAAGCCACAGAAGCUGUGCAGGGAGGCAGGGGUGGAAGGCAGGGAUUUUCUGCAGUAUCCCCUCCCUCCACACAGCUUGAAAUAAUUUACAAGAAACCUCCUGAUUUCACAUGUUUGCCUAUCCGUGAAGCAUUCCCCAGUAAUUCAGUUCUGAUUAAAGAAAACAAAGAACUACUUUUAUUAAGUGCUAAAGAAAUAUUUUUAUUAUUGCCAGUGCCCAGAUAAUUCAAACCAUCUGGAUUAUAUACAGCAUUUUGAGCAGAAACAUCAUUAGUUACAAGAAACAUCUCCUACCCCUCUCUGGUACCUGAGGUGACAAGGUGAUGGCCUCAGAAGUGUGUAUCCUUAUUAUCCUAUCAUGAGAAAAAGCUGAACACAGAAGGUUCCCUAUUCAGAAACACACAGUCAGAGUGUUUCUUAGCUACCUACAUUGGCUAUUAACAUAUAAAUAGGCCAGAGUCUAGAAGGUUUAUCUACACUAAGAAGAAUCCCACAUCUUGAACAUUCCCACCCUAUUUUAAAAUUAUCAACAUUUUUGCUUUGUUUUGAGCAAAAUGGCUGAAAUUUUUACAUAGCUGGCACCAGCUGCAGAGUGCAGUUCUGGUUCUGAUGCUGAGGUUGCUCCCAGGGCUCCCAGUCCCUGCAGUAUUGCCUUCCAUGCAAACAGGAAAAAAGGUUGUCUCCUUGAGCAGAAGGUAUGAGUAACAUGAAGUAAGGAAGAAAACAAGUUAAUCAGGUUUUGAUUUACUUAGCUAUAAGAAGAAAAAAACUGUCUCUCUGUCUUUCCUUCUAUUCAUUUCACUCUGAGUUUUGAGGCACCUUGAUUUUACCUUGCUACACCAAACCCAGAUCACCUUUACAAAUUCCUUGACUUAAAUAAAGCAAAGCUGCAAACAAAUCAGAUAAAAAAUUGCAAGGUUAAGUGUUGGAGAAGUAUCUGGAAUAACUUCAAAGCAGAUCUUUAAAAAUUGCCAUGACAGCAGCCUUUCAACUGUGUUCUGAAGAAACAGGAAAGUCACUAAUGAUGGUCCUGAUAUUUCUGCCCUCAGAGUCUAGAGUUUUGGCUUAGACUUCAAAGGGAAUGAUGCUCACACCUUCUAUUUGCAAUAUAAAGCUUUCUUUAUGAUCAGUCUGCAAAGCAACAGGUAUUGCUGCUCUUUCAUGUGGACUGGAAGAUGUGCAAAGGGAAGCUUCCCACUGAGAUGAGCUCAGCUCAGCUCCCUCUGCCUGCGCUGGGAAAGGCUCUUUUCUGGAUCGCUGUGCAGCUGUUGCAUACAAAGAUGCUUGUUCAAGUCUUAGCUGUGAGCACACUGAUGUACUCUCAGCA
Dromaius novaehollandiae (emu) is the source of this 2096-nucleotide long non-coding RNA. RefSeq lists it as uncharacterized. The transcript is spliced from 4 exons. NCBI's taxonomy places the organism in Eukaryota, Metazoa, Chordata, Aves, Casuariiformes, Dromaiidae. The record is from RefSeq and is a predicted model, not a curated record.